RNAcentral lists this ribosomal RNA (253 nucleotides) under uncultured bacterium. Its description in RNAcentral is "partial 16S ribosomal RNA". It matches the Rfam family "Bacterial small subunit ribosomal RNA", at positions 524 to 776 of the family's 1533-position model. The record is from RNAcentral.
UACGUAGGGGGCAAGCGUUGUUCGGAAUUACUGGGCGUAAAGGGCGCGUAGGCGGCAUGGCAAGUCAGGAGUGAAAGGCCUGGGCUCAACCGAGGAACUGCUUUUGAUACUGCCAAGCUAGAGUGCGGAAGGGGCAACUGGAAUUCCCAGUGUAGCGGUGAAAUGCGUAGAUAUUGGGAAGAACACCGAUGGCGAAGGCAAUCCCCUGGGCCUGCACUGACGCUCAUGCACGAAAGCGUGGGGAGCAAACAGG